AUUGAACGCUGGCGGCAUGCUUUACACAUGCAAGUCGAACGGCAGCACGAAAGAGCUUGCUCUUUUGGUGGCGAGUGGCGAACGGGUGAGUAAUGCAUCGGAACGUACCGAGUAAUGGGGGAUAACUGUCCGAAAGGAUAGCUAAUACCGCAUACGCUUUGAGAAGGAAAGUGGGGGCUCUUCGGACCUCACGUUAUUCGAGCGGCCGAUGUCUGAUUAACUAGUUGGUGGGGUAAAGGCCUACCAAGGCGACGAUCAGUAGCGGGUCUGAGAGGAUGAUCCGCCACACUGGGACUGAGACACGGCCCAGACUCCUACGGGAGGCAGCAGUGGGGAAUUUUGGACAAUGGGCGCAAGCCUGAUCCAGCCAUGCCGCGUGUCUGAAGAAGGCCUUCGGGUUGUAAAGGACUUUUGUUAGGGAAGAAAAGGAUAGUGUUAAUACCAUUAUCUGCUGACGGUACCUAAAGAAUAAGCACCGGCUAACUACGU
RNAcentral lists this ribosomal RNA (489 nucleotides) under uncultured bacterium. RNAcentral's name for it is "partial 16S ribosomal RNA". It matches the Rfam family "Bacterial small subunit ribosomal RNA", at positions 30 to 506 of the family's 1533-position model. The record is from RNAcentral.